Molecule: ribosomal RNA, 207 nt
Filed under: uncultured bacterium
Lineage: Bacteria
Description: partial 16S ribosomal RNA
Rfam family: Bacterial small subunit ribosomal RNA
Source: RNAcentral
UGUGUAGGUGGCGCCGUAAGUCGGGUGUGAAAUCUCGGGGCUUAACUCCGAAACUGCAUUCGAUACUGCGGUGCUUGAGGACUGGAGAGGAGACUGGAAUUCAUGGUGUAGCAGUGAAAUGCGUAGAGAUCAUGAGGAAGACCAGUGGCGAAGGCGGGUCUCUGGACAGUUCCUGACACUGAGACACGAAGGCCAGGGGAGCAAACG